GACGAACGCUGGCGGCGUGCUUAACACAUGCAAGUCGAACGGAAAGGCCCUGCUUUUGUGGGGUGCUCGAGUGGCGAACGGGUGAGUAACACGUGAGUAACCUGCCCUUGACUUUGGGAUAACUUCAGGAAACUGGGGCUAAUACCGGAUAGGAGCUCCUGCUGCAUGGUGGGGGUUGGAAAGUUUCGGCGGUUGGGGAUGGACUCGCGGCUUAUCAGCUUGUUGGUGGGGUAGUGGCUUACCAAGGCUUUGACGGGUAGCCGGCCUGAGAGGGUGACCGGCCACAUUGGGACUGAGAUACGGCCCAGACUCCUACGGGAGGCAGCAGUGGGGAAUAGUGCACAAUGGGCGGAAGCCUGAUGCAGCAACGCCGCGUGCGGGAUGACGGCCUUCGGGUUGUAAACCGCUUUCGCCUGUGACGAAGCGUGAGUGACGGUAAUGGGUAAAGAAGCACCGGCUAACUGCGUG
Molecule: ribosomal RNA, 468 nt
Filed under: uncultured bacterium
Lineage: Bacteria
Description: partial 16S ribosomal RNA
Rfam family: Bacterial small subunit ribosomal RNA
Source: RNAcentral